UGGUUACAGUGUCUUUUUCAGGAAGUUCUGCGGAAGAUAUCGAGAAGGCAAAGGCUUUCUGGAAGUGUAUAAACCUUCCUCCGGAACAGAAGUCUACAUUAGCCGUCAGUGGAAUAAACCACCGUCUAAAAACUGCACCUCAAAUUGGAGAAAGUUCGUUAAAACACUGUUUUUAAACAUCAGUCUUGGAACUAAACAGCUUACCUCUCGUAAAAGAUCGUGUAUUACCCACAACUUCAAAUUGGCGGCCCUGCCGCUUUCUAGAAGCAUGGAAAGUAAACGCUCGCAAUCGAGACGGUGGCAUUCAUCUGCCAAGAAAGAGAUUAGUUGGUAUCUAUCAGAUGCACACAACUUCCCUUGAAAUGGAAAAUGAUCCAAACUUCAUUUAGAGAAGAAGCCCAACAAACACUGGCCAAAAGAAAGGUUGAGAGAUUAAAGAUGUCAUGCAGUGAAUGUGUGUGAUGAUGCAACAUAUUUUCAUCAGAAAAUCAAUGAAGACCUUCAAAUAGGUGGACUAGAUGUUCAAGCAGAAGAAAUAAUUGACAUUAUUGAUGGAUACAAGGGAAAGGGCUAAAUUGGCAAAUCCACUGAAGAAGAGAGGACAUUGUGGAGAUAUCCAGAACAACUGGAAUUAUGGUGGACCCCGUGUACAACGUCAAAGCCAUUAGAGGAAUGCUACACGAGAUGAACACCAACCCAGGGCGAUUUAAGGGUCACAGAAUACUUUAUAUUCAUACUGGUAAAUUGCAACCUUGAGAUCCCAUUUUUGAUCCCUCGUAGAAGUAUCAGUGGUCCGUGACAUGUACUGUGGUUGCAUGUGGAGGUGUGUUCGGUUUGUAUGAUGGAAGAAUGGACCCGUUAGUAACUCGCUCUGCACUGGGUAUAAAUGAUGUUGUCUGCUGGGAAAGUGCGAAUGAUCCCAUGCCAUUCUGAGGCUGACUCGUUCUUAGUUGUCUCUCUUAUUUUAGAUAUUUACGUAGUGCUCGAGAGGUCCGCGUGUAAAAAGAUUUUCGUUCGUUUCUCAUCGUUCCUUUUGUUAAAUAGUGCUAAUCUCUCGCGAAACCCUCGGCCGCGCAAGAAAGACUGGGAACUAGCAAAUUUUAGGGUGGCAAGCAAGAAAGGUCAGUCAAGACAUGCCUACAUUCUCUUUUGGCGUCAGCCAGUAAAAUUGUUCACAAACGAGGAGGUAAUUGCAUCGCAUGGACUUCUCAAACCAUCAGAGGGAAACAGUCUAUGACCAAGGUCUCGUGAGCUCACAUAUCGAAGACGAACACAACAAAUUAUUGGACCGGAAAAAAAUGUUAAAGCCUUUGAAAAUAUAUUCGUGUAAAAGUAUAAAGAUUUAAAGUUUUUAAUUUCGUGUUUGAUUUAUACACUUACAUCUUUGAUUUUACACCAAUAAAACAAAAGGUAACGCUGUACCCGCUUUUCAGUAUAACAAGUUCUAUUUUUGGAUCUAGUUUGA
This is a non-coding RNA of Pocillopora verrucosa, 1465 nucleotides long. NCBI's taxonomy places the organism in Eukaryota, Metazoa, Cnidaria, Anthozoa, Scleractinia, Pocilloporidae. The record is from RefSeq and is a predicted model, not a curated record.